AGCAGCCGCGGUAAUUCCAGCUCCAAUAGCGUAUAUUAAAGUUGUUGCAGUUAAAAGCUCGUAGUUGAAUUUCGGGGUUAGCAGGUCGGUCGUGCCAUUGGUAUGAACUGGUCUCGCUGAUCCCUCCCUCUUGACGAACUGUGAUGCCAUUAAUUUGGUGUCGCAGGGAAUCAGGACUGUUACCUUGAAAAAUUGAGUGUUUAAAGCAGGCUCACGCUUGAAUACAUUAGCCUGGAAUAAUGAAAUAGGACGUUUGAUCCUAUUUUGUUGGCUUCUAGGAUUGACGUAAUGAUUAAUAGGGAUAGUUGGGGGCAUUAGUAUUCAAUUGUCAGAGGUGAAAUUCUUGGAUUUAUUGAAGACUAACUACUGCGAAAGCAUUUGCCAAGGAUGUUUUCAUUAAUCAAGAACGAAAGUUAGGGGAUCGAAGACGAUCAGAUACCGUCGUAGUCUUAACCAUAAACUAUGCCGACUAGGGAUCGGAUGAUGUUAAUUUUUUAAUGACUCAUUC
Molecule: unclassified non-coding RNA, 508 nt
Filed under: uncultured Glomus
Lineage: Eukaryota; Fungi; Glomeromycota; Glomeromycetes; Glomerales; Glomeraceae
Description: SSU rRNA
Rfam family: Eukaryotic small subunit ribosomal RNA
Source: RNAcentral